UACGUUGGAACGACUGCUAAUACCCGAUGUGCCGAGAGGUGAAAGAUUUAUCGUCUGAAGAAGGGCUCGCGGCUGAUUAGCUAGUUGGUAGGGUAAAGGCUUACCAAGGCAACGAUCAGUAACUGGUCUGAGAGGAUGAGCAGUCACACUGGAACUGAGAAACGGUCCAGACUCCUACGGGAGGCAGCAGUGGGGAAUUUUCCGCAAUGGGCGAAAGCCUGACGGAGCAAUACCGCGUGAGGGAGGAAGGUUCUUGGAUUGUAAACCUCUUUUCUAGGGGAAUAAAAAUGAAGGUACCCUAGGAAUAAGCAUCGGCUAACUCCGUGCCAGCAGCCGCGGUAAUACGGAGGAUGCAAGCGUUAUCCGGAAUUAUUGGGCGUAAAGAGUCCGUAGGUGGAAGUUCAAGUCUGCUGUUAAAGAAUGGAGCUUAACUCCAUAGAGGCGGUGGAAACUGAGCAACUAGAGUGCGGUAGGGGUAACGGGAAUUCCCAGUGUAGCGGUGAAAUGCGUAGAUAUUGGGAAGAACAUCGGUGGCGAAAGCGCGUUACUGGGCCGAAACUGACACUGAGGGACGAAAGCUAGGGUAGCGAAAGGGAUUAGAUAC
This 604-nucleotide ribosomal RNA is filed under the name uncultured cyanobacterium. RNAcentral describes it as "bacterial SSU rRNA". It matches the Rfam family "Bacterial small subunit ribosomal RNA", at positions 145 to 785 of the family's 1533-position model. Lineage: Bacteria; Bacillati; Cyanobacteriota. The record is from RNAcentral.